RNAcentral lists this ribosomal RNA (752 nucleotides) under Acarospora glaucocarpa. RNAcentral describes it as "eukaryotic LSU rRNA". It matches the Rfam family "Eukaryotic large subunit ribosomal RNA", at positions 351 to 1124 of the family's 3401-position model. The record is from RNAcentral. Lineage: Eukaryota; Fungi; Ascomycota; Lecanoromycetes; Acarosporales; Acarosporaceae.
GAGCGAUCGAAAGAUGAADAGCACUUKGGAAAGAURGUCAAACAGUACGUGAAAUUGUUGAAAGGGAAGCGCUUGCCUCAGACUUGCCCGCAGGCGAUCAACCGGUAUUCUUACCGGUGCACUCGCCUGUGGUCAGGCCAGCAUCGGUUUGGGCGGCUGGACAAAGUUCACCGGAACGUARCUCCUCUCGGGGAGUGUUAUAGCCGGUGGUGCAAUGCAGYCCGCCUGGACCGAGGACCGCGCUUCGGCUAGRAUGCUGGCGUAAUGGUUGUAAGCGACCCGUCUUGAAACACGGACCAAGGAGUCUAACWUCUAUGCGAGUGUUUGGGUGUCAAACCCAUGCGCGGAAUGAAAGUGAACGGAGGUGGGAACCCUCAAAGGGCGCACCAUCGACCGAUCCAGAUGUCUUCGGAUGGAUUUGAGUAAGAGCAUAGCUGUUGGGACCCGAAAGAUGGUGAACUAUGCCUGAAUAGGGUGAAGCCAGAGGAAACUCUGGUGGAGGCUCGCAGCGGUUCUGACGUGCAAAUCGAUCGUCAAAUUUGGGUAUAGGGGCGAAAGACUAAUCGAACCAUCCUUUUUUUUCCGCAGCUAGGUGGUUAAGUGAAGCCAUGUGUCCAUGAACACAUGCUUCUUAGUCCUCUUCAAUGGGGGCAACAUCACUACUUGCAUGAACAUUUCUCAGAAAUCAACAUGCCGCAGCUUUUAUAGCUGUACACAGAUCAGACAGUGAUGGCCGGUGUUCUUUUGGUUGA